Molecule: long non-coding RNA, 1445 nt
Organism: Nilaparvata lugens (brown planthopper)
Lineage: Eukaryota; Metazoa; Arthropoda; Insecta; Hemiptera; Delphacidae
Exons: 3
Source: RefSeq, a predicted model, not a curated record
CGGUCGGACACUCAUGUGCUGCUUUGUCUAGUUUGCAAUCAGCUAGUCAAUUCGUCGUUGUCGUUCCUGUCCAAGACCAACUCGAUGAUUUCCCAAUCUUGAAAAUAAACAGACAACAUACAAACGCCAAACUGUGUAAUUUAAGAGCAUCGUUACAUAAUCAAUCAUCCAUAGUAUCAGAGGAAAUCUGAAUAUUUAGUAAUGAAUCAAGUAAAUGUAGUGUAUUCGUUAUAAACAGUGUGAAACUUGGUUGAAUAAAUUCUUUAAAUGUGAUUGAAAGAAUUAAAGUAAUUUGUCGAUCGUGGAAGAAAUAAUUGAAUUUUUGUACUAGUUCCGUUGAACAAAAAACGAAGUGAAUCUGCGAAUAACAUUAUUUGUGAAAUAGAUUCAUUUUUAACAACAUGUUUGUACAUGUAAGUUCAGAGGGUAGUGUAAUUCGAACACACGAGGCAAAUACAACGGUGAUAGUAUCAAAAUAUAUCAGACUUACAUAUUAUCAGUUUGAUUGUUUCAUGUGUCCAGAGUUUAUACACAUAGCAGAGUAUGAGAUUGGCUGAUCCUUUGGCUGAUUGGGUUUCAACCUGAUCAUCAGAUUCUGUAUUUCCAUACAUGUCACAGAUGGACUACAGAGAUAAUAAAUAGAUUCAGUCAGAACGAGUUACUGUUUUCAGAACAGAGCUGUUAAGUUUAUCGAUUUGAUCGACCCACGCGGGUUUUGCGAUUCUUUGAUCACGAAAUAAAUCUGCAUGCUGCCUGCCAAUAAUGACAAUGCCUGUCAUUCCAAGGUGGUCUCGGACUUGGUCUUGACAGGCAGGCUCAGUCGCAAAGAACACGUGAGAAGAUCGAGACAUCUGUGGAGAUACAGCAGCAGCAGCGGCAGCAGCAGCAGCAGCAGAAGCAACACCUUCUCACAAUGAAUCAUGCGCUAAAUCUGGACAAUAUAAGGCAUUGGAACUGGGUUAAACUGUUGCAUUGACCUAUCGAACUGACAAUGAUUCACAAUAUAUUGUUGAUUUGACACUUUUCCUAUAAAUUUUAAGAUUAUAGCCCAUUCAUAUCUAUAAUAAGGUAACUUGGAAUAUUAGUUCAUUUGCCGUGACGAACAUUGUUUUAUUCCACGAUGAAUGUCGAAUGAGGGCUGACAAUGUUUCUAUUGUUGUACAUGUAAAAAUUACAUUAUUCUUAAAUCUCAAAUAAAAUAUUUGUUUGAAAGUUGCAAAUGAUUUCUAUUGUACGUAGUAUCUAUGAGUUUGUGAACUGUUAUUUCAUAUUUUCACUAGUUAUUGGAUGGAACAAGCUACAGUCAAUAACAACAGAAGAGUCUCCAAUCUACUGUAGACGAGAGAUUCAUGAAUCUGGUAUCUACAUUACUGUCUGUCUUUAGUGACGAAUCGAAGGAGGCACUUAUGUCAACGCAGCAUCAAUGCUACCACGACAGGCUUGUG